Molecule: ribosomal RNA, 836 nt
Filed under: uncultured bacterium
Lineage: Bacteria
Description: bacterial SSU rRNA
Rfam family: Bacterial small subunit ribosomal RNA
Source: RNAcentral
GGCUCAGGACGAACGCUGGCGGCGUGCCUAACACAUGCAAGUCAAGGGUAGCAAUACCCUGGCGCACGGGUGAGUAACACGUAGGUAAUCUGCCUCUAUCUCUGUGAUAACUCCGGGAAACUGGUGAUAAACACAGAUGAGGACGAAAGUUCAAAGCUUCGGCGGAUAGAGAUGAGCCUGCGUCUGAUUAGCUAGUUGGUGGGGUAAAAGCUUACCAAGGCGACGAUCAGUAGCUGGUCUGAGAGGACGAUCAGCCACACUGGAACUGAGACACGGUCCAGACUCCUACGGGAGGCAGCAGUGAGGAAUAUUGGUCAAUGGGGGAAACCCUGAACCAGCGACGCCGCGUGCGGGAUGAAGGGGCUUUGCCCUAUAAACCGCUGUCGGAUGGGAAGAAAAGCAGGGUCGCCCUGCUGGGACUGUACCAUUAAAGGAAGGGUCGGCUAACUACGUGCCAGCAGCCGCGGUAAUACGUAGGACCCGAGCGUUGUCCGGAUUUACUGGGUAUAAAGGGUGCGCAGGCGGAUUUGUGCGUCUAGGGUUAAAUACCUCGGCUCAACCGAGGAGCUGCCCUGGAUACGGCAAGUCUUGAGUACGAGAGAGGGUGGUGGAAUUCCUGGUGUAGCGGUGAAAUGCGUAGAUAUCAGGAGGAACACCAGUGGCGAAGGCGGCCACCUGGCUCGUUACUGACGCUCAGGCACGAAAGCGUGGGGAGCAAACAGGAUUAGAUACCCUGGUAGUCCACGCCCUAAACGAUGUAUGCUUGGUGUUGGGAGCUUGUCUCUCAGUGCCGGAGGAAACCCAUUAAGCAUACCACCUGGGGAGUACGAUCGCAA